This 305-nucleotide ribosomal RNA is filed under the name uncultured bacterium. RNAcentral describes it as "partial 16S ribosomal RNA". It matches the Rfam family "Bacterial small subunit ribosomal RNA", at positions 335 to 656 of the family's 1533-position model. The record is from RNAcentral.
CCGGCCUACGGGGGGCAGCAGUGGGGGAUAUUGCACAAUGGGGGGAACCCUGAUGCAGCGACGCCGCGUGGGUGAAGAAGCGCCUCGGCGCGUAAAGCCCUGUCAGCAGGGAAGAAAAUGACGGUACCUGAAGAAGAAGCCCCGGCUAACUACGUGCCAGCAGCCGCGGUAAUACGUAGGGGGCAAGCGUUAUCCGGAUUUACUGGGUGUAAAGGGGGCGCAGACGGCGAUGCAAGCCAGGAGUGAAAGCCCGGGGCCCAACUGAGGAACUGCAACUAAAACUGGUUUUCUUGAGUGUUGGAGAG